AAGACUGAAGCAUUAAUGUCUCUCCUUGAUUUGGUGUGAUCAUUCCACUCAUCAGGGGCAAGCACAGUCAUGCACUCUAUCAAGCCAACAUUAUCCAUCAUAAUCUGUUUGUAAAAUGUUCUCCAUGUUUUUUUCUGGUCUGAUGUUUAAUAGUGUUUAUGAUCCAUCACAAUCUGUUUGUAAAAUAUUCUCCAAGUUCUUUCCUGAUUUUGAUGUUUAAUAGUGUUCAUGAUCCCAAUUUUUCAAAUAUU
This is a non-coding RNA of Coffea arabica (coffee), 251 nucleotides long. The record is from RefSeq and is a predicted model, not a curated record. Lineage: Eukaryota; Viridiplantae; Streptophyta; Magnoliopsida; Gentianales; Rubiaceae.